GUCUGAAUCAGACUAAUUUCAGUCCCGUUCUAACCCUUGCCGGGUCUACUUAAACCCUAGCUUCUCAAAUUCUCCUCUCUAAAAUCUGUCUUCCGAGUUCACUGGCUCCACUCACCAGUAUCCAAUAUGGCGGACACUGUGCAAUACCGGCUAGAACGCAUGGUCGACGAGCUCGACGACUUAGAGAAGCGAGGACUGUUCACGCGUCGCGAGAUAGCUGAGAUCGUGAAGCAGAGGCGAAAGUUCGAAUAUAGAUUGAAGAGACCGAGUCCACUUAAGCAGGACUACUUGGCCUACAUAGAGUACGAGAUUCAGCUCGACUCUCUUCGCCGCCUUCGAAAGAAAUCUGUGUCGCGUGAGCUUAAAAAGAAGGGAAAUAAGAAAAUAAAGAUGUCGGUGUCUGAUUUUGCUGGCGUUUCGAGAAUCGUCGACAUUUAUAGGCUUUCUGUAAUGAGAUAUAAGGGAGAUAUUGAGCUGUGGUUUCGAUAUUUGGAGUUUUGUAGGGAGCGAAGGAAUGGCAGAAUGAAAAAG
RNAcentral lists this unclassified non-coding RNA (531 nucleotides) under Hevea brasiliensis (rubber tree). Lineage: Eukaryota; Viridiplantae; Streptophyta; Magnoliopsida; Malpighiales; Euphorbiaceae. The record is from RNAcentral.